UCAUCUUCAUCGAAUUCGUCCUCGUCGUCUUCCAUAUCCUCAUCUGUGCUGAUAUCAUCCAGGGGCGUAGACUUUUUGCAGCCCGAACUACAUCACUAGGACACAGAGGAAUAAUUCCUGCAGUCUGAAUGAAAGUGCUGAACUGCUCCUGCAGCAUCCUAAUUUAUGAUGAUGUUUCCUCGUCCUUCUUCUGCGCCCUCUCUCUUUGUUCAGCAAGCUCUUCAGUGAGUUUGGAAAUCGUAUUUUCUAGUCUUUCAAUGGCUUCUUUAUCAACUGAAGAGUUAGAGUAUGUAGGGCCG
This 299-nucleotide long non-coding RNA is filed under the name Capsicum annuum. Its description in RNAcentral is "long non-coding RNA (CANN_LNC005468)". The record is from RNAcentral. Lineage: Eukaryota; Viridiplantae; Streptophyta; Magnoliopsida; Solanales; Solanaceae.